AAUGGGGGGAACCCUGAUCCAGCCAUGCCGCGUGUGUGAAGAAGGCCUUUUGGUUGUAAAGCACUUUAAGUGGGGAGGAGGCUUACCUGGUUAAUACCUGGGCUAAGUGGACGUUACCCACAGAAUAAGCACCGGCUAACUCUGUGCCAGCAGCCGCGGUAAUACAGAGGGUGCGAGCGUUAAUCGGAUUUACUGGGCGUAAAGCGCGCGUAGGUGGUUAAUUAAGUCAAAUGUGAAAUCCCCGAGCUUAACUUGGGAAUUGCAUUCGAUACUGGUUAGCUAGAGUAUGGGAGAGGAUGGUAGAAUUCCAGGUGUAGCGGUGAAAUGCAUAGAUAUUACUUAGAACACCAAUUGCGAAGGCAGGUUACUAAGCAACAACUGACGCUGAUGGACGAAAGCGUGGGGAGCGAACAGGAUUAGAUACCCUGGUAGUCCACGCCGUAAACGAUGCUAACUCGUUUUUGGAAUGUAAGUUUCAGAGACUAAGCGAAAGUGAUAAGUUAGCCACCUGG
This 512-nucleotide ribosomal RNA is filed under the name uncultured bacterium. RNAcentral's name for it is "bacterial SSU rRNA". It matches the Rfam family "Bacterial small subunit ribosomal RNA", at positions 370 to 876 of the family's 1533-position model. The record is from RNAcentral.